GACGAACGCUGGCGGCGUGCUUAACACAUGCAAGUCGAACGGAGCGAAUGAAAGCUUGCUUUUAUAAGCUUAGUGGCAAACGGGUGAGUAACACGUAGGCAACCUGCCAACAGGAUGGGGACAACAUUCCGAAAGGAAUGCUAAUACCGAAUGAAGUCGAGGGAGGGCAUCCUCCUCCGAUGAAAGAUGGCCUCUAUAUAUAAGCUAUCACCUGUCGAUGGGCCUGCGUCUGAUUAGCUGGUAGGUGAGGUAACGGCUCACCUAGGCGACGAUCAGUAGCCGGUCUGAGAGGAUGAACGGCCACAUUGGGACUGAGACACGGCCCAGACUCCUACGGGAGGCAGCAGUGGGGAAUCUUCCGCAAUGGGCGCAAGCCUGACGGAGCAACGCCGCGUGAGUGAAGAAGGUCUUCGGAUCGUAAAAGCUCUGUUGA
RNAcentral lists this ribosomal RNA (433 nucleotides) under Selenomonas sp. oral taxon E39. RNAcentral describes it as "bacterial SSU rRNA". It matches the Rfam family "Bacterial small subunit ribosomal RNA", at positions 28 to 439 of the family's 1533-position model. The record is from RNAcentral. Lineage: Bacteria; Bacillati; Bacillota; Negativicutes; Selenomonadales; Selenomonadaceae.